This 203-nucleotide ribosomal RNA is filed under the name uncultured bacterium. Its description in RNAcentral is "partial 16S ribosomal RNA". It matches the Rfam family "Bacterial small subunit ribosomal RNA", at positions 130 to 334 of the family's 1533-position model. The record is from RNAcentral.
CCGAUGGCGGGGGGAUAACUACUGGAAACGGUAGCUAAUACCGCAUAAUGUCUGCGGACCAAAGCGGGGGACCUCCGGGCCUCGCGCCAUCAGAUGAACCCAUAUGGGAUUAGCUUGUAGGUAAGGUAACGGCUUACCUAGGCGACGAUCCCUAGCUGGUCUGAGAGGAUGAUCAGCCACACUGGGACUGAGACACGGCCCAG